Long non-coding RNA from Sebastes umbrosus (honeycomb rockfish), 173 nucleotides. RefSeq lists it as uncharacterized. NCBI's taxonomy places the organism in Eukaryota, Metazoa, Chordata, Actinopteri, Perciformes, Sebastidae. The transcript is spliced from 3 exons. The record is from RefSeq and is a predicted model, not a curated record.
CACAUCCUCAUGGCUCUGUUUUCAGGCUUUAGAAAAUCUAGCCCGUGACGGGAGUCUUUGACCAAUCACAGGUCAUUUCAUUGAGAGAGCGUUCCUAUUGGCUGUGCUCCGGUCAUGUGACCGGAACUUGACGUUCCUUCAUCAGAUUUAACUAUGGCGGUGGCGUCAAAUAC